UACGUAGGGUGCAAGCGUUAAUCGGAAUUACUGGGCGUAAAGCGUGCGCAGGCGGUGAUGUAAGACAGUUGUGAAAUCCCCGGGCUCAACCUGGGAACUGCAUCUGUGACUGCAUCGCUGGAGUGCGGCAGAGGGGGGUGGAAUUCCACGUGUAGCAGUGAAAUGCGUAGAGAUGUGGAGGAACACCGAUGGCGAAGGCAGCCCCCUGGGCCAAUACUGACGCUCAUGCACGAAAGCGUGGGGAGCAAACAGG
RNAcentral lists this ribosomal RNA (253 nucleotides) under uncultured bacterium. RNAcentral describes it as "partial 16S ribosomal RNA". It matches the Rfam family "Bacterial small subunit ribosomal RNA", at positions 524 to 776 of the family's 1533-position model. The record is from RNAcentral.